AUUGAACGCUGGCGGCAUGCCUUACACAUGCAAGUCGAACGGUAACAGGUCUUCGGAUGCUGACGAGUGGCGAACGGGUGAGUAAUACAUCGGAACGUGCCCGAUCGUGGGGGAUAACGAGGCGAAAGCUUUGCUGAUACCGCAUACGAUCUACGGAUGAAAGCGGGGGAUCUUCGGACCUCGCGCGGACGGAGCGGCCGAUGGCAGAUUAGGUAGUUGGUGGGAUAAAAGCUUACCAAGCCGACGAUCUGUAGCUGGUAUGAGAGGAUGAUCAGCCACACUGGGACUGAGACACGGCCCAGACUCCUACGGGAGGCAGCAGUGGGGAAUUUUGGACAAUGGGCGAAAGCCUGAUCCAGCCAUGCCGCGUGCAGGAUGAAGGCCUUUGGGUUGUAAACUGCUUUUGUACGGAACGAAAAGCCUCUUUCUAAUAAAGAGGGGUCAUGACGGUACCGGAAGAAUAAGCACCGGCUAACUACGUG
This 482-nucleotide ribosomal RNA is filed under the name uncultured bacterium. Its description in RNAcentral is "partial 16S ribosomal RNA". It matches the Rfam family "Bacterial small subunit ribosomal RNA", at positions 30 to 507 of the family's 1533-position model. The record is from RNAcentral.